GAUGAACGCUAGCGGUAGGCAUAACACAUGCAAGUCGAGGGGCAGCAUAAUUGAAGCUUGCUUUGAUUGAUGGCGACCGGCGGAUGGGUGAGUAACGCGUAUGCAACCUGGCUUAUACAGGAGGAUAGACACUGGAAACGGUGCGUAAUACUGCGUAAUGUUAUUGAGAGGCAUCUCUUAAUAAAGAAAGAUUUCGAUUGGUUUAAGAUGGGCAUGCGUAGCAUUAGCUAGAUGGUAAGGUAACGGCUUACCAUGGCGACGAUCUUUAGGGGUUCUGAGAGGAAGGUCCCCCACAUUGCAACUGAGAACGGUGCAAACUCCUACGGGAGGCAGCAGUGAGGAAUAUUGGUCAAUGCGGAAGCCUGAACCAGCCAUACCGCGUGCAGGAAGGCGGCCUUAUGGGUUGUAAACUCUUUUAUAUUGGGAUAUAGGGCUUGUCGAGUACAAGCAAUUGAAGGUACAGUAUGAAUAAGUAUCGGCUAACUCCGUGCCAGCAGCCGCGGUAAUACGGAGCUAGAUACGAGCGUUAUCCGGAUUUAUUGGGUUUAAAGGGUGCGUAGGCGGUCAUUCAGGUCUAUGGUGAAAUCGUUGUGCUCAACACAAUUCAGCUGUAGAGACCGAGUGACUAGAAUAUAAGUGGCGCAGGCGGAAUAAAGCAUGUAGAGGUGACAUUCAUAGAUAUGCUUUAGAAUACCGAUCGCGAAGGCGGCUUGCGAAGGUAUGAUUG
This 727-nucleotide ribosomal RNA is filed under the name uncultured bacterium. RNAcentral's name for it is "bacterial SSU rRNA". It matches the Rfam family "Bacterial small subunit ribosomal RNA", at positions 28 to 742 of the family's 1533-position model. The record is from RNAcentral.